This 277-nucleotide ribosomal RNA is filed under the name uncultured bacterium. RNAcentral's name for it is "partial 16S ribosomal RNA". It matches the Rfam family "Bacterial small subunit ribosomal RNA", at positions 334 to 603 of the family's 1533-position model. The record is from RNAcentral.
UAUUCCUACGGGAGGCAGCAGUGGGGAAUAUUGCGCAAUGGGCGAAAGCCUGACGCAGCGACGCCGCGUGAGGGAUGAAGGUCUUCGGAUCGUAAACCUCUGUCAGCAGGGAAGAACGGUCACUGUGCUAAUCAGCAGUGAAUUGACGGUACCUGCAAAGGAAGCACCGUCUAACUCCGUGCCAGCAGCCGCGGUAAUACGGAGGGUGCGAGCGUUACUCGGAAUUACUGGGCGUAAAGCGCUCGUCGGCGGUCUGUCACGUCAAGUGUGAAAUCCC